RNAcentral lists this ribosomal RNA (2803 nucleotides) under Staphylococcus aureus. RNAcentral describes it as "23S ribosomal RNA". It matches the Rfam family "Bacterial large subunit ribosomal RNA". The record is from RNAcentral. Lineage: Bacteria; Bacillati; Bacillota; Bacilli; Caryophanales; Staphylococcaceae.
GGGAAACCCAGCAUGAGUUAUGUCAUGUUAUCGAUAUGUGAAUACAUAGCAUAUCAGAAGGCACACCCGGAGAACUGAAACAUCUUAGUACCCGGAGGAAGAGAAAGAAAAUUCGAUUCCCUUAGUAGCGGCGAGCGAAACGGGAAGAGCCCAAACCAACAAGCUUGCUUGUUGGGGUUGUAGGACACUCUAUACGGAGUUACAAAGGACGACAUUAGACGAAUCAUCUGGAAAGAUGAAUCAAAGAAGGUAAUAAUCCUGUAGUCGAAAAUGUUGUCUCUCUUGAGUGGAUCCUGAGUACGACGGAGCACGUGAAAUUCCGUCGGAAUCUGGGAGGACCAUCUCCUAAGGCUAAAUACUCUCUAGUGACCGAUAGUGAACCAGUACCGUGAGGGAAAGGUGAAAAGCACCCCGGAAGGGGAGUGAAAUAGAACCUGAAACCGUGUGCUUACAAGUAGUCAGAGCCCGUUAAUGGGUGAUGGCGUGCCUUUUGUAGAAUGAACCGGCGAGUUACGAUUUGAUGCAAGGUUAAGCAGUAAAUGUGGAGCCGUAGCGAAAGCGAGUCUGAAUAGGGCGUUUAGUAUUUGGUCGUAGACCCGAAACCAGGUGAUCUACCCUUGGUCAGGUUGAAGUUCAGGUAACACUGAAUGGAGGACCGAACCGACUUACGUUGAAAAGUGAGCGGAUGAACUGAGGGUAGCGGAGAAAUUCCAAUCGAACCUGGAGAUAGCUGGUUCUCUCCGAAAUAGCUUUAGGGCUAGCCUCAAGUGAUGAUUAUUGGAGGUAGAGCACUGUUUGGACGAGGGGCCCCUCUCGGGUUACCGAAUUCAGACAAACUCCGAAUGCCAAUUAAUUUAACUUGGGAGUCAGAACAUGGGUGAUAAGGUCCGUGUUCGAAAGGGAAACAGCCCAGACCACCAGCUAAGGUCCCAAAAUAUAUGUUAAGUGGAAAAGGAUGUGGCGUUGCCCAGACAACUAGGAUGUUGGCUUAGAAGCAGCCAUCAUUUAAAGAGUGCGUAAUAGCUCACUAGUCGAGUGACACUGCGCCGAAAAUGUACCGGGGCUAAACAUAUUACCGAAGCUGUGGAUUGUCCUUUGGACAAUGGUAGGAGAGCGUUCUAAGGGCGUUGAAGCAUGAUCGCAAGGACAUGUGGAGCGCUUAGAAGUGAGAAUGCCGGUGUGAGUAGCGAAAGACGGGUGAGAAUCCCGUCCACCGAUUGACUAAGGUUUCCAGAGGAAGGCUCGUCCGCUCUGGGUUAGUCGGGUCCUAAGCUGAGGCCGACAGGCGUAGGCGAUGGAUAACAGGUUGAUAUUCCUGUACCACCUAUAAUCGUUUUAAUCGAUGGGGGGACGCAGUAGGAUAGGCGAAGCGUGCGAUUGGAUUGCACGUCUAAGCAGUAAGGCUGAGUAUUAGGCAAAUCCGGUACUCGUUAAGGCUGAGCUGUGAUGGGGAGAAGACAUUGUGUCUUCGAGUCGUUGAUUUCACACUGCCGAGAAAAGCCUCUAGAUAGAAAAUAGGUGCCCGUACCGCAAACCGACACAGGUAGUCAAGAUGAGAAUUCUAAGGUGAGCGAGCGAACUCUCGUUAAGGAACUCGGCAAAAUGACCCCGUAACUUCGGGAGAAGGGGUGCUCUUUAGGGUUAACGCCCAGAAGAGCCGCAGUGAAUAGGCCCAAGCGACUGUUUAUCAAAAACACAGGUCUCUGCUAAACCGUAAGGUGAUGUAUAGGGGCUGACGCCUGCCCGGUGCUGGAAGGUUAAGAGGAGUGGUUAGCUUCUGCGAAGCUACGAAUCGAAGCCCCAGUAAACGGCGGCCGUAACUAUAACGGUCCUAAGGUAGCGAAAUUCCUUGUCGGGUAAGUUCCGACCCGCACGAAAGGCGUAACGAUUUGGGCACUGUCUCAACGAGAGACUCGGUGAAAUCAUAGUACCUGUGAAGAUGCAGGUUACCCGCGACAGGACGGAAAGACCCCGUGGAGCUUUACUGUAGCCUGAUAUUGAAAUUCGGCACAGCUUGUACAGGAUAGGUAGGAGCCUUUGAAACGUGAGCGCUAGCUUACGUGGAGGCGCUGGUGGGAUACUACCCUAGCUGUGUUGGCUUUCUAACCCGCACCACUUAUCGUGGUGGGAGACAGUGUCAGGCGGGCAGUUUGACUGGGGCGGUCGCCUCCUAAAAGGUAACGGAGGCGCUCAAAGGUUCCCUCAGAAUGGUUGGAAAUCAUUCAUAGAGUGUAAAGGCAUAAGGGAGCUUGACUGCGAGACCUACAAGUCGAGCAGGGUCGAAAGACGGACUUAGUGAUCCGGUGGUUCCGCAUGGAAGGGCCAUCGCUCAACGGAUAAAAGCUACCCCGGGGAUAACAGGCUUAUCUCCCCCAAGAGUUCACAUCGACGGGGAGGUUUGGCACCUCGAUGUCGGCUCAUCGCAUCCUGGGGCUGUAGUCGGUCCCAAGGGUUGGGCUGUUCGCCCAUUAAAGCGGUACGCGAGCUGGGUUCAGAACGUCGUGAGACAGUUCGGUCCCUAUCCGUCGUGGGCGUAGGAAAUUUGAGAGGAGCUGUCCUUAGUACGAGAGGACCGGGAUGGACAUACCUCUGGUGUACCAGUUGUCGUGCCAACGGCAUAGCUGGGUAGCUAUGUGUGGACGGGAUAAGUGCUGAAAGCAUCUAAGCAUGAAGCCCCCCUCAAGAUGAGAUUUCCCAACUUCGGUUAUAAGAUCCCUCAAAGAUGAUGAGGUUAAUAGGUUCGAGGUGGAAGCAUGGUGACAUGUGGAGCUGACGAAUACUAAUCGAUCGAAGACUUAAUCAA